UACAGGGGUGCAAACGUUGCUCGGAAUCAUUGGGCGUAAAGCGCACGUAGGCGGUUAUUUAAGUCGGAUGUGAAAGCCCUUGGCUCAACCGAGGAAGUGCAUCCGAAACUGAAUAGCUGGAGUACGAAAGAGGGUCGCGGAAUUCCCGGUGUAGAGGUGAAAUUCGUAGAUAUCGGGAGGAACACCGGUGGCGAAGGCGGCGACCUGGUCGAUACUGACGCUGAGGUGCGAAGCGUGGGAGCAAACAGG
This 249-nucleotide ribosomal RNA is filed under the name uncultured bacterium. RNAcentral's name for it is "partial 16S ribosomal RNA". It matches the Rfam family "Bacterial small subunit ribosomal RNA", at positions 524 to 776 of the family's 1533-position model. The record is from RNAcentral.